GGAGGGUUCGCCUAAUGGUAUGGCACCGCCUUGGAAAGGCGGCGGGAGCAAUCCUUUAGAGGUUCGACUCCUCUACCCUCCGCCA
Molecule: transfer RNA, 85 nt
Filed under: Candidatus Yanofskybacteria bacterium RIFCSPHIGHO2_02_FULL_43_22
Lineage: Bacteria; Candidatus Yanofskyibacteriota
Description: tRNA-Ser
Rfam family: tRNA
About the family: Transfer RNA (tRNA) molecules are approximately 80 nucleotides in length. Their secondary structure includes four short double-helical elements and three loops (D, anti-codon, and T loops). Further hydrogen bonds mediate the characteristic L-shaped molecular structure. tRNAs have two regions of fundamental functional importance: the anti-codon, which is responsible for specific mRNA codon recognition, and the 3' end, to which the tRNAs corresponding amino acid is attached (by aminoacyl-tRNA synthetases). tRNAs cope with the degeneracy of the genetic code in two manners: having more than one tRNA (with a specific anti-codon) for a particular amino acid; and 'wobble' base-pairing, i.e. permitting non-standard base-pairing at the 3rd anti-codon position.
Source: RNAcentral